This 238-nucleotide ribosomal RNA is filed under the name uncultured bacterium. Its description in RNAcentral is "partial 16S ribosomal RNA". It matches the Rfam family "Bacterial small subunit ribosomal RNA", at positions 95 to 334 of the family's 1533-position model. The record is from RNAcentral.
CCGGCGCACGGGUGAGUAACGCGUAUGCAAUCUGCCUGAUACCGGGGUAUAGCCCAUGGAAACGUGGAUUAACACCCCAUAGUACUUUUAUCCUGCAUGGGAUGUGAGUUAAAUGUUCAAGGUAUCGGAUGGGCAUGCGUCCUAUUAGUUAGUUGGCGGGGUAACAGCCCACCAAGACGAUGAUAGGUAGGGGUUCUGAGAGGAAGGUCCCCCACAUUGGAACUGAGACACGGUCCAA